This 403-nucleotide ribosomal RNA is filed under the name bacterium. RNAcentral's name for it is "partial 16S ribosomal RNA". It matches the Rfam family "Bacterial small subunit ribosomal RNA", at positions 355 to 776 of the family's 1533-position model. The record is from RNAcentral.
UGGGGAAUAUUGCACAAUGGGGGAAACCCUGAUGCAGCGACGCCGCGUGAACGAAGAAGGUAUUCGUAUCGUAAAGUUCUGUCCUAUGGGAAGAUAAUGACAGUACCAUAGAAGAAAGCUCCGGCUAAAUACGUGCCAGCAGCCGCGGUAAUACGUAUGGAGCGAGCGUUGUCCGGUAUUAUUGGGCGUAAAGGGUACGCAGGCGGUUUAAUAAGUCGAAUGUUAAAGAUCGGGGCUCAACCCCGCAAAGCAUUGGAAACUGAUAAACUUGAGUAGUGGAGAGGAAAGUGGAAUUCCUAGUGUAGUGGUGAAAUACGUAGAUAUUAGGAGGAAUACCAGUAGCGAAGGUGACUUUCUGGACACAAACUGACGCUGAGGUACGAAAGCGUGGGGAGCAAACAGG